UCUACAACAACCACAACUGCUCCCACAUCAACACACCUUCUUCAACAACAACCACAGCUGCUCCCACAACAACCACAUCCUUCCCCACAACAACCACAGGUGCUCCCACAACAACCACAGCUGCUUCAACAGCAACCACAGAAUCUUCAACAACAACUACAGCUGCUCUUCCAACAACCACAGCUUCUCCCACAACAAACACAGCAGCUCCCACAACAACCACAGUUGCUCCCAAAACAACCACAGCUGCUCCCACAACAAUCCCAGCUGCUCCCACAACAACCACAGCUACUCUCACAACAACCACAGCUGCUCCCACAACAACCACAGCUGCUCCAACAACAACCACAGCUGCUCCAACAACAACCACAGCUGGUCCAACAACAACCACAGGUGCUCCCACAACAACCACAGCUUCUCCCACAACAACCACAGCUGCUCCACAACAACCACAGCUGUUCCCACAACAACCACAGCUGUUCCCACAACAACCACAGCUUCUCCAACAACAACCACAGAUACUUCAACAACAACCAUAACUGCUCCCACAUCAACCACACCUGCUCCAACAACAACCCCAGCUGCUCCCACAACAACCACAGCUGUUCCCACAACAACCACAGUCGCUACCACAACAACCACAGCUGCUCCCACAACAACCACAGCUGUUCCCACAACAACCACAGCUGCUCCCACAACAACCACAGCGGUUCCCACAACAACCACAGCUGCUCCAACAACAACCCCAGAUGUUCCAACAACAACCACAUCUGUUCCAACAACAACCAUAGCUUCUCCCACAACAACCAUACAAGCUCCAACGACAACUACAAUUGGGGCUACAAAACCACAGAUACUCCAACAACAACCACACCUGCUCCCACAUCAACCACACCUUCUCCAACAACAACCACAGCUGCUCCCAAAACAACCACAUCCUUCCCCACAACACCCACAUCUGCUCCCAAAGCAACCACAGCUGCUUCAACAGCAACCACAGAAUAUUCCACAACAACUACAGCUGCUCCGCCAACAACCACAGCUUCUCCCACAACAAACACACCGGCUCCCACAACAACCACAGAUGCUCCCAAAACAACCACAGCUGCUCCCACAACAACCACAGCUACUCUCACAACAGCCUCAUUUGUUCCCGCAACAACCACAGUUGCUCCCACAACAAACACAACCGCUCCCACAGCAACCACAGCUGCUUCAACAGCAACCACAGAAUCUUCCACAAUAACCACAUCUGCUCUCCCAACAACCACAGCUUCUCCGACAACAAACACAGCGGCUCCCACAACAACCACAUAUGCUCCCAAAACAACCACAGCUGCUCCCACAACAAACACAGCUAAUCCAACAAUAACACCAGCUGCUCCCAUAACAACCACAGCUGCUCUUACAGCAACCACAGCUACUCUCACAACAACCACAGCUACUCUCACAACAACCACAGCUGCUCCCACAACAACCACAGCUGCUCCAACAAGAACCACAGCUAAUCCCACAACCACGACAGCCACUUACACUUUAUCAUCAGGUGUUCCCACAACAACCACAGUUGCUCCCACAACAACCACAGCUGCUCCCACAACAAACACAGUGACUCCCACAACAACCACAGCUGCUCCCACAACAACCACAGCUGCUCCAAAAACAACCACAGCUGUUCCCAGAACAACCAUAGCUGCUACGACAACAACCCAAGAUGUUCAAACAACAACCACAGCUUCUCCCACAACAACCAUACAAGAUCCAACGACAACUACAAUUGGGGCUACAACAACCACAGAUACUCCAACAACAACAAAAUCUGCUCCCACAUCAACCACACCUUCUCCAACAACAACCACAGCUGCUCGCACAACAACCACAUCCUUCCCCACAGGACCCACAUCUGCUCCCACAACAACCACAGAAUCUCCCACAACAACCACAGUUGCUGCCACAACAACCACAGAAUCUCCCACAACAACCAGAGUCACGACUUCAAAAACCACAGAAUCUCCCACAGCAACCACAGCUGCUCCAACAACAACCACAGCUGCUCCCACAACAACUACAGCUGCUCUCACAACUACCACAUCUGCUCCCACAACAACCACAGCUGCUCUCACAGCAAACACAGCGGCUCCCACAACAACCACAGCUGAUCCCACAACAACCACAGCUGCUCCCACAACAACCACAGCUGUUCCCACACAAACCACAGCUGCUACGACAACAACUCCAGAUGUUCCAAAAACAACCACAUCUGCUCCGAAAACAACCACAGCUUUGCCCACAACCAACAUACAAGCUCCAACGACAACUACAUUUGGGGCUACAACAACCACAGAUGCUCCCACAACAAACACAGCGGCUCCCACAACAACCACAUAUGCUCCCAAAACAACCACAGCUGCUCCCACAACAACCACAGCUGCUCCCACAACAACCACAGCUGCUCCCACAACAACCACAGCUACUCUCACAACAACCACAGCUGCUCCCACAACAACCACAGCUGCUCCAACAACAACCACAGCUAAUCCCACAACCACGACAGCUACUUACACAACAUCAUCAGCUGCUCCCACAACAACCACAGCUGCUCCCACAACAACCACAGUCGCUGCCACAACAACCAGAGCUGUUCCCACAACAACCACAGCUGCUCCAACAACAACCACAGCUGUUCCCAGAACAACCACAGCUGCUACGACAACAACCCAAGAUGUUCAAACAACAACCACAGCUUCUCCCACAACAACCAUACAAGCUCCAACGACAACUACAAUUGGGGCUACAACAACCACAGAUACUCCAACAACAACCAAAACUGCUCCCACAUCAACCACACCUUCUCCAACAACAACCACAGCUGCUCGCACAACAACCACAUCCUUCCCCACAUAUUCUUCCACAGCAACCACAGAAUCUCCCACAACAACCACAGUUGCUGCCACAACAACAACAGCUAUACCCACAACAACGCCACCUGCUCUGACAAAAACUCCAAAUGUUCCAACAACAACCAUAGCUGCUCAAAUGACCAUCACAGCUGCCUCCAUAUCAACGACAGCUGCUAUCCCAACAACAGCAGCCUCUCCCACAACAAACACAGCAUCUCCCACAACAACCACUGCUCCUCCCACAACAACCACAGCUGCUCCAACAACAACCACAGAAUCUCCCACAACAACCACAGUCACGACUUCAAAAACCACAGAAUCUCCCACAGCAACCACAGCUGCUCCCACAACAAGCACAGCUGCUCCCACAACCACAGCUGCUCUCACAACAACCACAUCUGCUCCCACAACAACCACAGCUGCUCUCACAACAACCACAGCUGCUCCAACAACAACCACAGCUAAUCCCACAACAAUGACAGCUACUUACACAACAUCCUCAGGUGUUCCCACAACAACCACAGUUGCUCCCACAACAACCACAGCUGCUCCCACAACAACCACCGCUGCUCCCACAACAACCACAGCUGUUCCCACACAAACCACAGCUGCUACGACAACAACUCCAGAUGUUCCAAAAACAACCACAUCUGCUCCAACAACAACCACAGCUUCUCCCACAACCACCAUACAAGCUCCAACGACAACUACAAUUGGGGCUACAACAACCACAGAUGCUCCCACAUCAACGACACCAUCUACAACAACAACCACAACUGCUCGCACAACAACCACAGCAGCUCCAAAGACAACUACAACUGAGGCUACAACAACCACAGAUACUCCAAUGACAACCACAGCUACUCCCACAACAACCACAGCUGCUCCAUCAACAACCACAGCUAAUCCCACAACAACAACAGCUAUUUACACAACAUCCUCAGGUGUUCCCACAUUAACCACACCUGCUUCAACAGCAAACACACAAACAAACACAGCUGCUCCAGCAACAACAACAUAUGCUCCCACAUCAACCACUUCUGCUCCCACAACAACCACAGCUGCUCCAGCAACAACAACAUAUGCUCCCACAACAACCACUUAUGCUCCCACAACAAGCACAGCUGCUCCAGCAACAACCACAGCCUCUCAAGCAACAACAACAUAUGCUGCCACAACAAGCACUUCUGCUCCAGCAACAACCACAGCUGCUCCCAAAACCACCACAGCUGCUGCCACAACAACCACAGCUGCUCCAAGAACAACAACAUCUGCUCUGACCACAGUUACAACAGGUUAUUCAACCACUACCACAACACCGGCCCCUCCACCACCAGAGGUGAAGUUGGAGUUCAAAUUGGAGCAAAACUUCACAGCAGAUUUGAAUAAUGUUUCUUCACCAGAGUUCAAAGAAUUAGCAAAUACUGUGUCUACAGCGCUGGAAAAUGUGUACAAAAGUAAAUAUGGAUCCAGUUUCAUUCGCAUAGAAGUUAUAGGUUUCAGUCAAGGUUCAAUUGUGGUAAUCACUAAGCUGGUAUUUAACGAUACCAGCGUAGUCCCUGCGAACAGUGAUGUGGCUGCCACGAUGACAGAGGCAGUUUCAAGCAACAGCUCUAAUUUCUCUCUCCCAGUGAACACAGCCUCCAUUGUGGCAACAAAGGUGAUUGUACCAACACCACCCCCAGCAGCCACAACUCCAACUUCAGCUGUGGAUACAACAACCACAGCUGCUCCUACAUCAACCACAGCAGUUCCACAAACAACAACAGCUACUCUCACAACAACCACAGCUGCUCCCACAACAACCACAGCUGUUCCAACAACAUCGCCACCUGCUCAGACAAAAACCCCAGAUGUUCCAACAACAACUACAGCUGCUCCCACAACCACCCCUGCUGCUCCCACAACAACCACAGAAUCUCCCACAACAUCCACAGUUGCUGCCACAACAACCACAGCUGUUCCCACAACAACGCCACCUGCUCUGACAAAAACUCCAGAUGUUCCAACAACAACCACAGCUGCUCAAACGACAAUCACAGCUGCUCCCAUAUCAACGACAGCUGCUCUCCCAACAACCGCAGCCUCACCCACAACAAACACAGCGGCUCCAACAAAAUCCCCAGCUGCUCCCACAACAACCAUAGCUGCUCCAACAACAACCACAGAAUCUCCCACAACAACCACAGUCGCUACUUCAAAAACCCCAGCUGCUCCAACAACAACCUCAGCUGCUCCCACAACAAUCACAGAAUCUCCCACAACAACCACAGCUGCUCCCACAACAACCACAGCUGCUCUCACAACAACCACAGCUGCUCCCACAACAACCACAGCUACUCCAACAACAACCACAGCCUAUCCCACAACAACCACAGCUGCUCCCACAACAACCACAGCUGCUCCUACAGCAACCACAGCUGCUCCAACAAAAACCACAUCAUCUACCACAAAAACCACAGAUGCACCCACAACAACAACAGCAUAUCCAACAACAACCACAACUAUUCCCACAACAACCACAGCUGCACCCACAACAACCACAGGUGCACCCACAACAACCAAAGGUGCACCCACAACAACCACAGCCAUCCCCACAACCCCAUAGCUUCUCCCACAGCAACCAUAGAAGCUCCAACGACAACUACAAUUGGGGCAACAACAACCACAGAUACUUCAAAAACAACCACAGCUGUUCCCACAACAACCACGGCUACUCCGACAACAACCCCAGAUGUACCAACCACAACCACAACUCUUCCAACAACAACCACAACUGCUCCAACAACAAACACAGAUACAUUCAAAACAACCACAGCUGCUCCCACAACAACCACAGCUGCUCUCACUACAACCGCAGCUAUUCCCACAACAACCACAGCUGCUCCAACAACAACCAGAGAUUUUCCCACAACAACCACAGCUGCUCCCACAACAACCACAGCUGCUUCCACAACAACACCAGCUGCUCCAACAACAACCUCAGCUGCUCCCACAACAACCACAGCUGCUCCAACAACAACCACAGCUGUUCCCACAACAACCAUAGCUGCUACAACAACCACAGAUACUCCAACAACAACCACUACUGCUCCCACAUCAACCACAGCUGCUCCCACAACAACCACAGAAUCUCCCACAACAACCACAGCUGCUCCCACAACAACCACAGCUGCUCCCACAACAACCACAGUUGAUCCCACAACAACCACAGCUGUUCCCACAACAACCACAGAAUCUCCCACAACAACCACAGUCGCUACUUCAAAAACCACAGCUGCUCCAACAACAACCAGAGCUGUUCCCACAACAACCACAGCUGUUCCCACAACAACCACAGCUGCUCCCACAACAACCACAGCUGCUCCCACAACAACCACAGCAGCUCCAACAACAACCACAGCUGUUCCCACAACAACCACAGCUGUUCCCACAACAACCACAGCUGUUCCCACAACAACCACAGCUGCUCCCACAACAAC
Oncorhynchus tshawytscha (Chinook salmon) is the source of this 6382-nucleotide long non-coding RNA. NCBI's taxonomy places the organism in Eukaryota, Metazoa, Chordata, Actinopteri, Salmoniformes, Salmonidae. The record is from Ensembl.